GGGUACUCGAGCGGCGAACGGGUGAGUAACACGUGAGCAACCUGCCCUAGGCUUUGGGAUAACCCCGGGAAACCGGGGCUAAUACCGGAUAUUCACUUGCGGACGCAUGUUUGUGGGUGGAAAGUUUUUCGGCUUGGGAUGGGCUCGCGGCCUAUCAGCUUGUUGGUGGGGUGAUGGCCUACCAAGGCGACGACGGGUAGCCGGCCUGAGAGGGCGACCGGCCACACUGGGACUGAGACACGGCCCAGACUCCUACGGGAGGCAGCAGUGGGGAAUAUUGCACAAUGGGCGGAAGCCUGAUGCAGCGACGCCGCGUGAGGGAUGACGGCCUUCGGGUUGUAAACCUCUUUCAGCAGGGACGAAGCGCGAGUGACGGUACCUGCAGAAGAAGCGCCGGCCAACUACGUGCCAGCAGCCGCGGUAAGACGUAGGGCGCGAGCGUUGUCCGGAUUUAUUGGGCGUAAAGAGCUCGUAGGCGGCUUGUCGCGUCGACUGUGAAAACCCGUGGCUCAACUGCGGGCCUGCAGUCGAUACGGGCAGGCUAGAGUUCGGUAGGGGAGACUGGAAUUCCUGGUGUAGCGGUGAAAUGCGCAGAUAUCACGAGGAACA
Molecule: ribosomal RNA, 609 nt
Filed under: Verrucosispora sp. SPM3-8
Lineage: Bacteria; Bacillati; Actinomycetota; Actinomycetes; Micromonosporales; Micromonosporaceae
Description: bacterial SSU rRNA
Rfam family: Bacterial small subunit ribosomal RNA
Source: RNAcentral